This 237-nucleotide unclassified non-coding RNA is filed under the name plant metagenome. Its description in RNAcentral is "partial contains small subunit ribosomal RNA, internal transcribed spacer 1, and 5.8S ribosomal RNA". The record is from RNAcentral.
UCUCCGUUGGUGAACCAGCGGAGGGAUCAUUACCGAGUUUACAACUCCCAAACCCCAUGUGAACCUUACCAAAUGUUGCUUCGGCGGGAUGCCCCGGGCGCGGGCCGCAAGGCCUCAGCCCCGGAACCAGGCGCCCGCCGGAGGCCCAAACCAAACUCUUGUUUUUGUAGAAUCUUCUGAGUGGCCUUUUAGGCAAAAAAUGAAUCAAAACUUUCAACAACGGAUCUCUUGGUUCUG